RNAcentral lists this ribosomal RNA (249 nucleotides) under Aphelenchoides sp. Ap142. Its description in RNAcentral is "partial 28S ribosomal RNA". Lineage: Eukaryota; Metazoa; Nematoda; Chromadorea; Rhabditida; Aphelenchoididae. The record is from RNAcentral.
UGGAACCGGAUGAGAAACCGAAGUAUCUGGUGCGUAUUCAAUCGCUCGCGACGGCAAUCGUUUGUUCAGCAUUCCGCAAGGUUGUUGAGCGGGCGUUCGUUUGUCGGCGUGGACGAUGCACUUGCGUACGGAGUGCGCCGAGUGGGUUGACGGUGUCGUCGGAGGCGCGUUUAGAGGACUUGGCGUGGCAACACAUCGAGAACCCUGAACGUGCGGAAGGCGAGUGCCGUUGGCUUGUUGCUUGUGGGA